GUUCCUUUCUAGGGUUUCUGUUCGAGCCGCUUGAGCUCGACGCGCUUCUAGGGUUUCUUCGCGGCGGAGAGAGCGAGAGCGAGAGAGAGAGAGAGAGUGUGGAGGAAUUGGAGAUGCAGACGGAGGCGAGGGUGGGAGUGGUGGUGGAGGGGGGAGGGCAGAGGUCGCUUAGUUCCGUGCAUGGCGGCACCCGGAACUACUCCACGGAGCAGCAGGAGCUGCAGCAAGGACCGCAGAUCGGGACGGUGCCUAAUCUAUUGGCCGGAGGGGUUGCCGGAGCCGUCAGCAAGACGUGCACGGCUCCCCUUGCUCGCCUCACUAUUCUCUUCCAGGUGCAAGGGAUGCACUCUGACGUUGCAACUUUGAGCAAGACUGGCAUUUGGCGUGAGGUUUACCGCAUACUCAAUGAAGAAGGUGUUAGAGCAUUCUGGAGAGGAAACAUGGUCACAAUCAUCCAUCGUUUACCCUAUUCAUCAAUCAGCUUUUAUGCUUAUGAGCACUACAAAAAUCUAUUGCGGAUGGUUCCUGGUCUUGAUAAGCGCCAAGACAAUGCAGGUGCUGAUGUUCUGUUGCGCUUGUUGGGUGGUGGUUUAGCAGGAAUAACAGCGGCAACUAUCACAUACCCAUUAGAUCUUGUGAGGACACGACUUGCAGCUCAGACAAAGCAUGUGUAUUAUAGAGGCAUGUCGCAUGCUCUUUACGCUAUAUGCAGGGAUGAAGGUGUGCGAGGACUAUAUAAGGGGCUUGGUGCUACAUUAUUGGGUGUUGGACCCAGCAUAGCAAUUAGCUUUUCUGUUUAUGACACUCUAAAGUCCCAUUGGAGAUCAGUAAGGCCUCAAGAUUCCCCUGUGCUGGUUAGCUUGGCUUGUGGAAGUCUUUCUGGGAUUGCAUCAUCAACAGCUACGUUCCCAUUAGAUCUUGUAAGACGACGGAAACAAUUAGAAGGAGCGGGUGGUAGAGCUUGUGUCUACAAUUCAGGCUUGCUUGGGACAUUUCAGCACAUAUUCCGCACUGAAGGGUUCCGUGGCUUAUACAGGGGUAUUUUGCCGGAGUACUACAAAGUUGUGCCCAGUGUUGGCAUUGUUUUUAUGACUUAUGAGACACUGAAGGCAUAUCUGUCAGGACCGGGCGCCAAUGACCAGUGCUAAGAUAUUUCUGAUACAUAUCAUUUUUAUAACAGGCAAUCUCUGAGAAAGAAUGUCCAUAAUUCGGUUUUCAGUAUAGACUGAGUAGGAAAAUUUUGUUGCAACUCCAAUGAAUCUCAUGGCGCUUGUUGUGGGCCACUGACAGUUUUUGAGUGGCUGGAAGAAACAUCCUCUUUAUAUCUUACAGAAGGAACAACUCCUGAAAAAAAAAAAUCAUUUGUUUAAAAUUUUAUAGUGAAUUCUAUAGGUUUAUUUUGAAUAGCUUGCUUCAUUGAAUUUUGAAAGAUGGCCUUUGGUUUCAAGCCUCAAUUGUUGU
Molecule: RNA transcript, 1461 nt
Organism: Dioscorea cayenensis subsp. rotundata (Guinea yam)
Lineage: Eukaryota; Viridiplantae; Streptophyta; Magnoliopsida; Dioscoreales; Dioscoreaceae
Gene name: mitochondrial substrate carrier family protein B-like
Exons: 8
Source: RefSeq, a predicted model, not a curated record